UAGGAUAAGAGGACACAAAAAGUCAAUUUU
This 30-nucleotide non-coding RNA is filed under the name Mus musculus (house mouse). Lineage: Eukaryota; Metazoa; Chordata; Mammalia; Rodentia; Muridae. The record is from RNAcentral.